Molecule: unclassified non-coding RNA, 392 nt
Filed under: soil metagenome
Description: partial contains 5.8S ribosomal RNA, internal transcribed spacer 2, and large subunit ribosomal RNA
Rfam family: 5.8S ribosomal RNA (bases 1-120)
Source: RNAcentral
GAUGAAGAACGUAGCGAAAUGCGAUAAGUAAUGUGAAUUGCAGAAUUCAGUGAAUCAUCGAAUCUUUGAACGCAUCUUGCGCUCCUUGGUAUUCCGAGGAGCAUGCCUGUUUGAGUGUCAUUUAACUUCUCAACCACAUUGGAUAUUUUUUUUCCGAUGCCGGCUUGGAUGUGGGGGUUGUUUGCAGGCUUUUUGUAACAAAAAAGGUCGGCUCCCCUGAAAUGUAUUAGUGGUAUCUGAGGCUAUUACUAUUAGGUGUGAUAAUUAUCUAUGCCUUUUGGGUAUGCCGCAUGAACAGAUUAUGCUGCUUCUAACGAAAACUAUUUUGAUGAAUUUGACCUCAAAUCAAGUAGGACUACCCGCUGAACUUAAGCAUAUCAAUAAGCGGAGGA